UUUCAGUCACACAUACACACACACACACACACACACACUCCCUCUCUCUCAUCCGCUGCUCUUCCUCUCUGCUUCCUCAGUCUCUCUCCCUCAUUCUUCUCUUCCUCCCUUCAACUCUCAUUCCUCUCUUCCUCUCUCUAACCUGCCAAGUGUAUGGUUGUAACAUGGAUCUUACUUUUUUAAAGGAUUACCACAAGAGGCGUAGGGUUUGUGAUGGAUUUAUUUGACAAUCCCCAUUUUUUCCCUCUCCAAAUCUUACACCUCUUGUAUCUCUGCUCCUCGUUUGAUAGACUCUCUCUGUGGACUCUCACCUACAACAACAACAACUUCUUCACUCAUUUCUAAUAUUCCUUGCUUUCUCCAUAAACUUUCGAUCUCUGCUUUUCAAAUACAAGCCAAAUAGUUUUUUACUCUGGGAUUCAUAUGGAGGUCGCACCAGACAUCCAUCUUUGUUCCUCCGGAUUUCUUUAACAGUAAGUAUUCAAUUUCUUCCUUUUUUUUUUCUUUCUUGUUUAAUUCUUUGAGUGCUGAAAAUGGCAGUUUUUAUUUUUAUUUUUAUGCAUUGAUUAAUAGUUUUUAUUUCAUUGGUUUGUUGACUAUGCUAUGUGAAUUUAUUUGUUGACUAUGCUUUGUGAAUUUUUGAAGAAAAAUUGGCUGAUGUUGUUCUUGGAUUUGUCUUUGAUGAGCCCUAUGUGGUAAAGAUCUUUGGUUUUUGGAUCUUUACUCUUUAUUAAAACCUUGGAUCUCAUAUGUUUGGCUGUGUUCGGACAGGUGCUCGUGGCUGAACGUUACAAUCGGCGAGGCGUCGAUUGGUUGGUGGCGAGGGUUUGUGCUAGUAGGGAUGCUCGACGGCAGGUGCUGCAGUAGAAGCCUAGGUUUUCUUUUGUUGUAUUUUAUGGCUUGGGCCUUUACUAUUUGUUGGAUCUAUUGGGCUUGACACGCCCCGAUCCAAAUAUUCCCCAAAUACCAGGAUAAGCACGUGUUGGUCGACACCCGAGGGUGACGAAAGCAAUUUAUUGAGUGCAAAAGUUGAAAACAAGAGAUAGAUAAGACAUAUAAAUAUAAGAGGAUAAAUAAUGUGCAUUUAAGGAACGUGUUCAGAGCAUACAACUAACUAGAACACUAAAAGAAUAAUAUAAAAUUGAAUGAAUAAAAGAAUGGGUCAUACACCAAGAAGACUCGAAAAUGCCGAUGCGGAAUUGUUUGGAUGCCGGGAUUGUAUGCCUCAAUUCUAAGUCCUGAAGGGGGCGCAAAACAAACAUGAGUGGACCAAUUUGAUAUAUAAAUAGUAAACGGUUAUCAAUGUACUAACCCCCA
This 1317-nucleotide long non-coding RNA is filed under the name Malus domestica (apple). RNAcentral describes it as "long non-coding RNA (MDOM_LNC003577)". The record is from RNAcentral. Lineage: Eukaryota; Viridiplantae; Streptophyta; Magnoliopsida; Rosales; Rosaceae.